AACAUUUCAGUGCUUCAUUUGUGCUUUUUCACUCAGACCGAGAGCGCUACGAUCACACAGUCCUUCCGUUUGACAGGUCGAUAUCUCUGUUUUAUCUGAGGCCUGUGAUUUCACACCUCGCUCCUGUUAACAGUUUGUGCAUUGCUUUUGGAGUGGCGUCGGGGACCAGCUCGCCUUUCUUCAGAUGCAUUUGUCACAGCAGUGAGAUGCUGUGAUUUUAAUUGUAUUGGGGAAUCUUGAUUGGGAAAAGCAGAGGGGGAAGUGAAAGCUCAAAGCAAAUUCAUUACCGCAGAGGCCGUGCAUACCGAGCUUUUCUGCAUGCAGUGAAAAUGUCAGCCUCACCUCGGUCAUUUGUAAAGUAAUAAGCAGAAGCACAAUGACGGCGAGGCGCAGCAGCGCAACGGGGGGAAGGGCAAAUCUGCCUGUCUCCUUAAAAAGGAUUUUUAAAAGAGUCUUGAUUAGAAAGUAUAAUGAGACUGAGAGCAACGCUGCACACUAUCUCUCCAGAGGCUGAUGGAAAACAAAUCAAUGUAGCUAUUUUGUUUUAAUUCCUAUUUUUCCACAUUAGACUGCAGUGCGUCCUGAGGAGUUGUCAUCACUGUCCACCAGAGCCCAUGCAGUCAGAGUUAUUGAUUUUCUGUAGACACAUCAAGGGAAUGCAGAGAGUAAUCUCUUUUUUCCCCCUGAAAAAAAACACACAAAAAACAAGAGCCAUAGCAUAAAAAAAUGGAAGAAGACAAAAGGAAGGGUUGAGGGAAAACAUUAUAUUGUAUCAUUCUUGUUUCAGGUUUAAUUUGAU
Long non-coding RNA from Carassius auratus (goldfish), 799 nucleotides. RefSeq lists it as uncharacterized. The record is from RefSeq and is a predicted model, not a curated record. The transcript has 3 exons. NCBI's taxonomy places the organism in Eukaryota, Metazoa, Chordata, Actinopteri, Cypriniformes, Cyprinidae.